UAGUCCACGCUGUAAACGAUGAGUGCAAGGUGUUGGGGGUCAAACCUCGGUGCCGCCGUUAACACAGUAAGCACUCCGCCUGGGGAGUACGUACGCAAGUAUGAAACUCAAAGGAAUUGACGGGGACCCGCACAAGUAGCGGAGCAUGUGGUUUAAUUCGAUGCAACGCGAAAAACCUUACCAGGGCUUGACAUAAAAGUGACGAGGGGUAGAGAUAUCCCUUUUCUCUUCGGAGACAGUUUUACC
RNAcentral lists this ribosomal RNA (246 nucleotides) under uncultured bacterium. Its description in RNAcentral is "partial 16S ribosomal RNA". It matches the Rfam family "Bacterial small subunit ribosomal RNA", at positions 791 to 1036 of the family's 1533-position model. The record is from RNAcentral.